GGGAUGGAGGCCAAACAAGAGCCGGCGGGGGGCCAACCACAACUCUUUUUUUUAACCCCCCUCCGCGGUCUUUGUAGGUGACCCUCCUCGGCGCCCCCCCGGAGGUUUAGAGAUGAAUAAAAACUUUGACACGCCAGGUCCCCCGAAUACUGGCCGGCGCAAAGUGCGUUCAAAGAUUCGAUGAUUCACUGAAUUUGCAAUCACAUUUCUUAUCGCAUUUCGCUGCGUUCUUCAUCGAUUCCAGAACCAAGAGAUCCUUUGUUGAAAGUUUUGAUUCCUUUCUCCGGGGGGUCGGCGAUGGGGAUCGGCCCUGCCUCAUGGCGAUGGCCGUCUCCGAAAUACAGUGGCGGUCUCGCCGCAGCCUCUCCUGCGCAGUAGUUUGCACACUCGCAUCGGGAGCGCGGCGCGUCCACAGCCGUUAAACACCCAACUUUCUGAAAUGUUGACCUCGGAUCAGGUAGGAAUACCCGCGAACCAGU
RNAcentral lists this ribosomal RNA (479 nucleotides) under Trichoderma harzianum. RNAcentral describes it as "eukaryotic LSU rRNA". The record is from RNAcentral. Lineage: Eukaryota; Fungi; Ascomycota; Sordariomycetes; Hypocreales; Hypocreaceae.